GACGAACCGUGUGAACGUUGUUCGGAAUCACUGGGCUUAAAGGGCGCGUAGGCGGGCCCUCAAGUCCGGGGUGAAAUCCUCCCGCUUAACGGGAGAAGAGCCUCGGAGACUGAGGGCCUCGAGGGAGGUAGGGGCGUGCGGAACUAUGGGUGGAGCGGUGAAAUGCAUUGAUAUCCAUAGGAACUCCGGUGGCGAAGGCGGCACGCUGGACCUCUUCUGACGCUGAGGCGCGAAAGCCAGGGGAGCAAACGGG
This 253-nucleotide ribosomal RNA is filed under the name uncultured bacterium. Its description in RNAcentral is "partial 16S ribosomal RNA". It matches the Rfam family "Bacterial small subunit ribosomal RNA", at positions 524 to 776 of the family's 1533-position model. The record is from RNAcentral.